CCUUAGCCCCGAUUGAAACGGCAUCCUUUUUUGAGGCACGAGAAAAAGAUAUAGUGGAAAGCGGGAAAUAGC
Molecule: small RNA, 72 nt
Filed under: Jejuia pallidilutea
Lineage: Bacteria; Pseudomonadati; Bacteroidota; Flavobacteriia; Flavobacteriales; Flavobacteriaceae
Description: Flavo-1 RNA
Rfam family: Flavo-1 RNA
Source: RNAcentral